AACCUUUACAAUGCACGAAAGUGUGAUAAGGGGAAUCCUAAGUGCUUUGCUUUUAGCAAAGCUUGUUGCUCAAGGAGCAAAAAUCUUGGCGAAUAAGUG
RNAcentral lists this ribosomal RNA (99 nucleotides) under uncultured archaeon. Its description in RNAcentral is "partial 16S ribosomal RNA". The record is from RNAcentral.